AGUACCUAGGUUGUGUAGGUAGAAUUGUUUUUAAUUUUUUACAUUUAACGAAUAUACCCUGAUACUUUAACCGUUAGUACGUUAAAGUAUUAGAGAUUAUUUAUACUAUCCAGUCUUAGUUCUUCACUUUUUGUUAGUGUAACAUACUUAAAGUGAUCUGUGCUUUUUGUAUCCUUUGUAAUAAUAUGGAGAUUGUGCAAGAGAAAAACCCUCUAGAAAUAGAGAAACCAUCGAAGUAUACAAUUUGCUCUAGAAAUAGAGCCGGGAGACCAAUUAGAAAUAAAAUUAUUAUGUUUAGUGCACAACCAAAAUCUAUCAUAUCUCAAUAUCUGAUUGGAGAACUUAAACAAUCUGUUGAGUCUAAAGAAAAAUCGUACUGUGUCAAAGAUGGGGAAGAAAUCAAAAGUACACAUGUAAACAGAUCACAAAAAUAUUUAGUUGGCGCUAAAGCAACUCCCAAAAUAUAUUGUUGUCCAUUUCAAGAUUGUUCAUACUCUUCUUCAAUAUCAUCUAAUUUAUUAAAACACAAAAGAACUCAUAAUUUAGAUAAGCUUUAUUUAUGUGAUCAAUGUACUUUUAGUACCAAUUUUUCCAAUUCUCUCAAAGUACAUAUGCGUAUACAUUUGAACAACAAACCAUAUCAGUGUCUCCACUGUGAUUAUAGAUGUAAUAGUAGCUCAAAUUUAAAAAAACACAACGGUCAUAAACAUUCUGAUGUGCAAUCUAAAUAAUUAAAAGAUUAUCUUUUUCUAAAUAAUAUAAUAUUAUUUGUAUAAUUAAGACCAAUGUUUAUAAAAAGACCAACCAAAAAAUUGCCAAAAAUUAAGAAAUAUAAAAAACUUCCAAAGAGUAAUUUUAACUUUCAGAAAUUAUAAACCUCUUAUUGUAAAAAAUGUAGUCAGGCCACUCUGGUUCUCAUGGCCUGAAUUAAUUGUUUUGAAAUCAGACAUUACUCAAAAUAACUUAUAGGAUGUAUAUUAUAUAUAAUUCUAUAUGAGGAGUUGAAUUAAACCUGUAAUAAUAAUUAUUGCAGGGGUUCUCAAAUGUGACUAGAUAAAAAAUUAAACAAAGUAAAAAAGUAUUAUAUUUAUAUUUUCUAAUAACCUAAAACCCUUUAUUGUAUAAUAGUAACUGGUAUAAAUAAAAUGUAUACCCAAAAAGGCUGUCUUAAAAUAUAUGUUUUUACCACCAAACUUACAAACAAUGUGUUAAUUAGACAAUUCAAAAUAUUUUUGUGGCAAUUAGUUGAAAUUAUGGCCUAAAAUUAAUGUUUUGUGCUCAUUAAUAGGUUAUCAACCAAGGAACCAACAUGUUAAUGAGCCAUCAAACUAAUUUAAUGUGAGUUUGCAAAAUAAAAGAAAGCAAAACCUUUAGGAUAUUUUGUGAAUUAAAAUUACAAACCAUAUUUCUAUGGAAAUUAUUUAACUCUUGUGGAGAAGAUAUUGAAUACAAAUAUUUGGGCAUUAACCUCCCAAUUUGCUAAAUGAUCUCAAUAGAUUGGUGACCUUAAAGACUGUGGUGAAUCCGACAUUCCAUGAAAGAGAAUACAUGCAACUCUGUUUUUUUUUGUUUUUACAAUGUUGUGGAACAAUGAUACAUUCUAAUAAAAAGUAGUGAAAACUUUUUAAAGCUAGGAAUACCCUUUGUGUGGUUUUAUUUCAUAUUAAUUUGUAGAGUACAAAGUAGGUACAUAUUAUAUCUUCUCUGACAUUACAUAUAUGCAUAGCUUAGAUAAUUCUCUUGUAAAUUUAUGUAUGCAUUAAAUAAACAAUAAUAACUACUGUAAAUAAAUGUUCUUGAUCAAUAUUAUCUGCUAUUUUAUUUGUUCACUUACAAGUUAUCAGUUAAUACUGUACAAAUAAUGAAAACAAACAUUUAUGAGUACCCUUUCAUCAUCAUGAUGGUUUGGCAUAUCUGAUUGUUAAUGGUCUCUAAUUACUCAUUCAUUGGAUUGCUUUGUUUGUUUGUGCAUUUGGUGGUAAAGUAUGUUUUGAGUUUCAAUAUUGUUUAAAUAUCAUUAACAAUAGUAAUACUUGGACAAUGUAUCUUAUUAGUACAUCAGUGACAAUGUUCUGUGAAAUCCACCACAACUGAUUCUCGCCAGCCAAAGAGAAAGUAUCCUGUUGCUGAACCUAGCACAACAGCGGCACAUAACCAAACAUUAUAUGUCAUAAACACUAACAUUAACAUGUAGCUAACAAAUACUUGGAUACCGUGCAGUCCAGUCUGCCAAACAUGUGCUGAGCUCAUCAUUGUAGGUCUGAAACAAGAUUGCGCAAUAUUGGAACAGCAUAAUUAUUAAAAAAAAAAACUACAUGAUAUUGUUUCUUUAUAUACUUACAUGUUCCUGUCAAGUACAUGUGGAACUGGCCUAAAAAAAUAAAUAUUAUU
Leptidea sinapis is the source of this 2391-nucleotide long non-coding RNA. RefSeq lists it as uncharacterized. The record is from RefSeq and is a predicted model, not a curated record. Lineage: Eukaryota; Metazoa; Arthropoda; Insecta; Lepidoptera; Pieridae. The transcript is spliced from 2 exons.